This 498-nucleotide ribosomal RNA is filed under the name uncultured bacterium. RNAcentral describes it as "partial 16S ribosomal RNA". It matches the Rfam family "Bacterial small subunit ribosomal RNA", at positions 30 to 523 of the family's 1533-position model. The record is from RNAcentral.
AUUGAACGCUGGCGGCAUGCUUUACACAUGCAAGUCGAACGGUAACAGGCCGCAAGGUGCUGACGGGUGGCGAACGGGUGAGUAAUGCAUCGGAACGUGCCCAGUCGUGGGGGAUAACGCAGCGAAAGCUGCGCUAAUACCGCAUACGAUCUAUGGAUGAAAGCGGGGGACCGUAAGGCCUCGCGCGAUUGGAGCGGCCGAUGUCAGAUUAGGUAGUUGGUGGGGUAAAGGCUCACCAAGCCAACGAUCUGUAGCUGGUCUGAGAGGACGACCAGCCACACUGGGACUGAGACACGGCUCAGACUCCUACGGGAGGCAGCAGUGGGGAAUUUUGGACAAUGGGCGCAAGCCUGAUCCAGCAAUGCCGCGUGCAGGAAGAAGGCCUUCGGGUUGUAAACUGCUUUUGUACGGAACGAAACGGUCCUGGUUAAUACCUGGGGCUAAUGACGGUACCGUAAGAAUAAGCACCGGCUAACUACGUGCCAGCCGCCGCCGUAA